Molecule: ribosomal RNA, 433 nt
Filed under: uncultured bacterium
Lineage: Bacteria
Description: partial 16S ribosomal RNA
Rfam family: Bacterial small subunit ribosomal RNA
Source: RNAcentral
AACGAACGCUGGCGGCGUGCCUAACACAUGCAAGUCGAACGAGACCUUCGGGUCUAGUGGCGCACGGGUGCGUAACGCGUGGGAACCUGCCCUUAGGUUCGGAAUAACUCCCCGAAAGGGGUGCUAAUACCGGAUAAUGUCUUCGGACCAAAGAUUUAUCGCCUUUGGAUGGGCCCGCGUUGGAUUAGCUAGUUGGUAGGGUAAAAGCCUACCAAGGCGACGAUCCAUAGCUGGUCUGAGAGGAUGAUCAGCCACACUGAGACUGAGACACGGCCCAGACUCCUACGGGAGGCAGCAGUGGGGAAUAUUGGACAAUGGGCGAAAGCCUGAUCCAGCAAUGCCGCGUGAGUGAUGAAGGCCUUAGGGUUGUAAAGCUCUUUUACCCGGGAUGAUAAUGACAGUACCGGGAGAAUAAGCUCCGGCUAACUCCGUG